CUAUAUCAUUCACUAACCACUUAGUCAUAACAAAUUAACAAGAUUACAAGAUUUCCUUCUUUUUGGGUUCAAGAACAGGAGGAUCAACAUCAAUCCCCAUGUUAGCUGCAGUGCCUGCUAUAAUUCUCAUUGCUGAUUCAAUUGUGGUGCAAUUCAAGUCCGGUAGCUUUUCAGCAGCUAUUGCACGACAUUGCUCAAUUGUGAUCUUACCCACUUUCUCUCUCUUUGGGUCUUUAGAACCUUUCUCCACGCCUAAUCACUCAAGACAACAAAUAACUACGUCAGAUCUUGAAAAUUGAAUGGUUAUAACUAUCCACAUUGAUCUUUUACCAUUACUAUUUUACAGUAACAACUAACAAGGUAAAUCAUUCUGAAAUUCUUUACCUCAUAGUGACUUGUUUCCUAGAGCAAAGUGCAUCAACACAAUGUUAAAGAAAUGUGAUAUAAUACUUGGUUUGGGCUCCCAAAAAAACAGCAACAACAAUAACAAAAGUGAUGCAGAAAGAAUCCAUUUUCAGAACAAAAUCAUAACUCAGAGUACAGGAAGAAGAUAAGUUUGGUUUCAUUUCUACAAGAGCUCCAUACACCCAUUACAAGUUUCAGUCAGAUUAAUAGAGAGUACUAGCUUUGGCAUCUCUUCUACUCCUCCAUGCAUUAUUUGAGGCUACAUGUUUUAACAAGUGUUCAACUUAGCAAGGAAUAUAUAUACUUCGAGAAUGAAUAAGCAUAUAUGUUUUUGAGGGCAAUGCAUGCUGGGAUAUGAAAGUACAUUUAUAUAUUCCUCAUCAUCAGAAAAGUUGAGAGUCACCCAUAACUAAUCACACCACAUGGGGAAACAAAGUAGAAAGAGUGUUGGGUAACCACUUAUGGAUCCAUGUGCAUCAGCACAUAAUCAUCAACAUAUGUUUUGAGCUUCAUAUAUAUGGUACAGGCGUUAUCCCCAAUUAUCCACCAAGCCAGACCUCAUACAACCAGCUCAUAGAUGGUAUACAAACAUCCAUAACCUACUCAAGCAUAACACUCCAAAACAAGAGUCAGGGCCUGUAUUAGCAGCCUUUAACAAACAAGGAGGAAAACACACUCAUGCUGCUAUCUAUUAAUGAAUAGCUGAACUUGAGCAUUUUCUAGGUCCACAAAGAAAUUCCCUAAUUUCCCACAUAUCUCAAAUGCAACUCAGACUUUUAUAAAACAUUCUUCAAUGCACAAUAAAUGAUUUGCAUGUACAAACACAUGAUGUAUAUGAAUUUUGCCAGAAAUUUGGACCCAUAUAACCAAGAAGAUAAUGAUAAGAAUAUCACCAUGUAUAUUGCGUGCAAGGCCACCAAAUCAAAUGAACUUGAUUGUUAGAUUUUUGAAGAGCCAUUCUUAAUUGCUCACUGGGCGUGUGUGUAUGUUGAUAAAAUUUAAAACAAGCAUAGACUC
This 1422-nucleotide unclassified non-coding RNA is filed under the name Hevea brasiliensis (rubber tree). The record is from RNAcentral. Lineage: Eukaryota; Viridiplantae; Streptophyta; Magnoliopsida; Malpighiales; Euphorbiaceae.